UACAGAGGUCUCAAGCGUUGUUCGGAUUCAUUGGGCGUAAAGGGUGUGUAGGUGGCGCCGUAAGUCGGGUGUGAAAUUUCGGAGCUUAACUCCGAAACUGCAUUCGAUACUGGCGUGCUUGAGGACUGGAGAGGAGACUGGAAUUCAUGGUGUAGCAGUGAAAUGCGUAGAGAUCAUGAGGAAGACCAGUGGCGAAGGCGGGUCUCUGGACAGUUCCUGACACUGAGACACGAAGGCCAGGGGAGCAAACGGG
This 253-nucleotide ribosomal RNA is filed under the name uncultured bacterium. RNAcentral's name for it is "partial 16S ribosomal RNA". It matches the Rfam family "Bacterial small subunit ribosomal RNA", at positions 524 to 776 of the family's 1533-position model. The record is from RNAcentral.